UUUUGACCUCGGAUCAGGUAGGGAUACCCGCUGAACUUAAGCAUAUCAAUAAGCGGAGGAAAAGAAACCAACAGGGAUUGCCCUAGUAACGGCGAGUGAAGCGGCAACAGCUCAAAUUUGAAAUCUGGCUCUUUUAGAGUCCGAGUUGUAAUUUGCAGAGGGCGCUUUGGCUUUGGCAGCGGUCCAAGUUCCUUGGAACAGGACGUCACAGAGGGUGAGAAUCCCGUACGUGGUCGCUGGCUAUUGCCGUGUAAAGCCCCUUCGACGUGUCGAGUUGUUCGGGAAUGCAGCUCUAAAUGGGAGGUACAUUUCUUCUAAAGCUAAAUAUUGGCCAGAGACCGAUAGCGCACAAGUAGAGUGAUCGAAAGAUGAAAAGCACUUUGGAAAGAGAGUCAAACAGCACGUGAAAUUGUUGAAAGGGAAGCGCUUGCAGCCAGACUUGCUUGCAGUUGCUCAUCCGGGCUUUUGCCCGGUGCACUCUUCUGUAGGCAGGCCAGCAUCAGUUUGGGCGGUGGGAUAAAGGUCUCUGUCACGUACCUCUCUUCGGGGAGGCCUUAUAGGGGAGACGACAUACCACCAGCCUGGACUGAGGUCCGCGCAUCUGCUAGGAUGCUGGCGUAAUGGCUGUAAGCGGC
RNAcentral lists this ribosomal RNA (635 nucleotides) under Alternaria papavericola. Its description in RNAcentral is "eukaryotic LSU rRNA". It matches the Rfam family "Eukaryotic large subunit ribosomal RNA", at positions 1 to 648 of the family's 3401-position model. Lineage: Eukaryota; Fungi; Ascomycota; Dothideomycetes; Pleosporales; Pleosporaceae. The record is from RNAcentral.